This 20-nucleotide microRNA is filed under the name Drosophila pseudoobscura pseudoobscura. RNAcentral's name for it is "mir-2511-2-RA". The record is from RNAcentral. Lineage: Eukaryota; Metazoa; Arthropoda; Insecta; Diptera; Drosophilidae.
AGUCUGUUGAGUGCCAUAGA